RNAcentral lists this ribosomal RNA (285 nucleotides) under uncultured Microgenomates group bacterium. RNAcentral describes it as "partial 16S ribosomal RNA". It matches the Rfam family "Bacterial small subunit ribosomal RNA", at positions 373 to 674 of the family's 1533-position model. The record is from RNAcentral.
GGACGAAAGCCUGACGGAGCAACACCGCGUGGUUGAUGACGCCUUUAGGGGUGUAAAGACCUUUUCUGAGUGAAGAACUUUGACGGUAACUUAGGAAUAAGCACCGGCUAACUCCGUGCCAGCAGCCGCGGUAAUACGGAGGGUGCAAGCGUUACCCGGAAUCAUUGGGCGUAAAGCGUCCGCAGGCGGUUUGAUAAGUAAGAUGUUAAAUUUUGCAGCUCACCUGUGAAUCUAUAUCUUAAACUAUUAAACUAGAGUAUUGGAGAGGUGCGUAGAAUUCUGUGU